GACGAACGCUGGCGGCGUGCUUAACACAUGCAAGUCGAACGGAAAGGCCUGCUUUUCCUUGUGUGUUGCGGGUACUCGAGUGUCGAACGGGUGAGUAUCACGUGAGUGAUCUGCCCCCAACUCGUGUAUAAGCCGGGGAUACUGGGUCUAAUUCCCGCCUGGUCCGCAGGGUGGUGCCUGUGGUUGAAGACGAUUUGCUAGUGGUUGGGGAUGAGCUCGCGGCCUAUCAGCUUGUUGGUGGGGUAGUGGCCUACCAAGGCGGCGACGGGUAGCCGGCCUGGGCGGUUGAACGGCCACACUGGGACGGAGACACGGGCAAGACGCAGACGGGAGGAAGGAGUGGUGAAUAGUGCACAAUGGGAGGAAGGCUGAGGCAGGGACGCCGGGUGCGGGAUGAUGGCCUUCUGGUGGUAGACCGCUUUCGCCCGGGUCGGAGGGGGAGUGACGGUAGUGGGUAAAGAAGCACCGGCUAACUACGUG
RNAcentral lists this ribosomal RNA (480 nucleotides) under uncultured bacterium. RNAcentral describes it as "partial 16S ribosomal RNA". It matches the Rfam family "Bacterial small subunit ribosomal RNA", at positions 28 to 507 of the family's 1533-position model. The record is from RNAcentral.